Molecule: ribosomal RNA, 426 nt
Filed under: uncultured bacterium
Lineage: Bacteria
Description: bacterial SSU rRNA
Rfam family: Bacterial small subunit ribosomal RNA
Source: RNAcentral
UGGGGAAUCUUGCGCAAUGGGGGCAACCCUGACGCAGCGACGCCGCGUGUGUGACGAAGGCCUUCGGGUCGUAAAGCACUGUCAGCCGGGAAGAAGACAUGCGUGUGAACCACGCGUGUGUUGACGGUACCGGCGAAGGAAGCACCGGCCAACUCCGUGCCAGCAGCCGCGGUAAGACGGAGGGUGCAAGCGUUGUUCGGAAUCAUUGGGCGUACAGGGCGCGCAGGCGGCCGUUCAAGUCCGGUGUGAAAGCCCGGGGCUCAACCUCGGAAUGGCAUCGGAAACUGGACGGCUUGAGUCCGGGAGGGGUCCGUGGAAUUCCUGGUGUAGGGGUGAAAUCCGUAGAGAUCAGGAGGAACACCGGAGGUGAAAACGACGGACUGGACCGGGACUGACGCUGAGGCGCGAAAGCGCGGGUAGCCAACA